Molecule: ribosomal RNA, 500 nt
Filed under: uncultured bacterium
Lineage: Bacteria
Description: partial 16S ribosomal RNA
Rfam family: Bacterial small subunit ribosomal RNA
Source: RNAcentral
AUUGAACGCUGGCGGAAUGCUUUACACAUGCAAGUCGAACGGCAGCACGGACUUCGGUCUGGUGGCGAGUGGCGAACGGGUGAGUAAUGUAUCGGAACGUGCCCAGUCGUGGGGGAUAACGUAGUGAAAAUUACGCUAAUACCGCAUACGAUCUAUGGAUGAAAGCGGGGGAUCGCAAGACCUCGCGCGAUUGGAGCGGCCGAUAUCAGAUUAGGUAGUUGGUGGGGUAAAGGCCCACCCAGCCAACGAUCUGUAGCUGGUCUGGGAGGACAACCAGCCAGACUGGAACGGAGGCACGGUCCAGAAUCCUACGGGAGGCAGCAGUGGGGAAUGUUGGACAAUGGGCGAAAGCCUGAUCCAGCCAUUCCGCGUGCAGGAUGAAGGCCCUCGGGUUGUAAACUGCUUUUGUACAGAACGAAAAGGUUUCUACUAAUACUAGGAGCUCAUGACGGUACUGUAAGAAUAAGCACCGGCUAACUACGUGCCAGCCGCCGCAGUAA